RNAcentral lists this ribosomal RNA (496 nucleotides) under uncultured bacterium. RNAcentral describes it as "partial 16S ribosomal RNA". It matches the Rfam family "Bacterial small subunit ribosomal RNA", at positions 28 to 507 of the family's 1533-position model. The record is from RNAcentral.
GAUGAACGCUGGCGGCGUGCCUAAUACAUGCAAGUCGAGCGAACGGACGAGAAGCUUGCUUUUCUGAUGUUAGCGGCGGACGGGUGAGUAACACGUGGAUAACCUACCUAUAAGACUGGGAUAACUUCGGGAAACCGGAGCUAAUACCGGAUAAUAUUUUGAACCGCAUGGUUCAAAAGUGAAAGACGGUCUUCUGUCACUUAUAGAUGGAUCCGCGCUGCAUUAGCUAGUUGGUAAGGUAACGGCUUACCAAGGCAACGAUGCAUAGCCGACCUGAGAGGGUGAUCGGCCACACUGGAACUGAGACACGGUCCAGACUCCUACGGGAGGCAGCAGUAGGGAAUCUUCCGCAAUGGGCGAAAGCCUGACGGAGCAACGCCGCGUGAGUGAUGAAGGUCUUCGGAUCGUAAAACUCUGUUAUUAGGGAAGAACAUAUGUGUAAGUAACUGUGCACAUCUUGACGGUACCUAAUCAGAAAGCCACGGCUAACUACGUG